GUGGGGAAUCUUCCGCAAUGGACGAAAGUCUGACGGAGCAACGCCGCGUGGAGGACGAAGGCCUUCGGGUUGUAAACUCCUUUUGGAGGGGAAGAAUAAAUUGACGGUACCCUCAGAAAAAGCCACGGCUAACUACGUGCCAGCAGCCGCGGUAAUACGUAGGUGGCGAGCGUUACUCGGAAUUACUAGGCGUAAAGCGUAUGUAGGUGGUUAGAUAAGUCUAUGGUGAAAUUUCCUGGCUUAACUGGGAAGGGACAUAGAUACUAUCUGGCUUGAGUGUGGGAGGGGGAGACGGAAUUCCUGGUGUAGCGGUGAAAUGCGUAGAUAUCAGGAGGAACACCGAUGGCGAAAGCAGUCUCCUGGCCCAAUACUGACACUGAGGUACGAAAGCUAGGGUAGCAAACAGGAUUAGAAACCCGGGUAGUCC
Molecule: ribosomal RNA, 427 nt
Filed under: uncultured bacterium
Lineage: Bacteria
Description: partial 16S ribosomal RNA
Rfam family: Bacterial small subunit ribosomal RNA
Source: RNAcentral